UAAUUUCUGAGCCUUCUUCCCAAUUUCAGGGUGGUCUCAAGCCCCCAAAGCCACCUCAGAUCCCUCAAGGUGGUCCCAGAUCCACCUCAGGCUGAUCCCAACCCCUUGGUGCCACCUCAGGGUGGUCCCAAACCCAUCUUAGGUCCCUCAGGGUGAUCCCAAAUCCACCUCAGGAUGAUCCCAAACCUCCUUGGUGCCACCUCAGGGUGGUCCUAAACCUUCUUGGUGCCACCUCAGGUCCCUCAGGGUGAUCCCAAAUCCAUCUCAGGGUUGUCCCAAAGCACUCCGGUGCUGCCGGACGCGCUCAGACCCCUCAGGGUGGUCCUGAAUCCAAACCCCCCCAGAUCCACCUCGGGUCCCUCAGCGUGAUCCCAACCCCCAAAUCCACCUCAGGGUGGUCCCAACCCCGUCAGAUCCACUUCAGGCUGGUCCCAAAUCCUCUUGGUGCCACCUCAGGUCCCUCAGGCUGGUCCAGAUCUCCUUGGUGCCACCUCAAGGUGAUCCCAAACCCAUCUUGGGUCCCUCAGGGUGANCCUCUUGGUGCCACCUCAGGUCCCUCAGGCUGGUCCAGAUCUCCUUGGUGCCACCUCAAGGUGAUCCCAAACCCAUCUUGGGUCCCUCAGGGUGAUCCCAAAUCCAUCUCAGGAUGGUCUCACUCUCUUGGUGCCACCUCAGGGUGGUCCCAAAUCCACCUCAGGUCCCUCAGGAUGGUCUCAACCCCCUCAGAUCCACCUCAGGCUGGUCCCAAACCCUCUUGAUGCCACCUCAAGGUGAUGCCAAACCCAUCUUAGGUCCCUCAGGCUGGUCCCAAAUCCUCUUGAUGCCACCUCAAAUCCCUCAGGCUGGUCCAGAUCCCCUUGGUGCCACCUCAAGGUGAUCCCAAACCCAUUUUGGGUCCCUCAGGGUGAUCCCAAAUCCACCUCAGGAUGGUCCCACCCUCCUUGGUGCCACCUCAGGCUGGUCCCAACCCCCUCAGAUCCACCUCAGGGUUGUCCGAACCCUCUUGGUGCCACCUCAAAUCCCUCAGGCUGGUCCAGAUCCCCUUGGUGCCACCUCAAGGUGAUCCCAAACCCAUCUUGGGUCCCUCACGGU
Molecule: long non-coding RNA, 1092 nt
Filed under: Zonotrichia albicollis (white-throated sparrow)
Lineage: Eukaryota; Metazoa; Chordata; Aves; Passeriformes; Passerellidae
Description: lncRNA (ENSZALG00000005119.1)
Source: RNAcentral